RNAcentral lists this small nuclear RNA (23 nucleotides) under Arabidopsis thaliana (thale cress). RNAcentral's name for it is "snRNA_15136". Lineage: Eukaryota; Viridiplantae; Streptophyta; Magnoliopsida; Brassicales; Brassicaceae. The record is from RNAcentral.
GAAACUUCUUUAAGAAAUCUUGA